This 194-nucleotide ribosomal RNA is filed under the name uncultured Glomeromycotina. RNAcentral describes it as "partial 18S ribosomal RNA". It matches the Rfam family "Eukaryotic small subunit ribosomal RNA", at positions 569 to 766 of the family's 1831-position model. Lineage: Eukaryota; Fungi; Glomeromycota. The record is from RNAcentral.
AGCAGCCGCGGUAAUUCCAGCUCCAAUAGCGUAUAUUAAAGUUGUUGCAGUUAAAAAGCUCGUAGUUGAACUUCAGGCCUGGGUGGGCGGUCUGCCUCACGGUAUGUACUGUCUGCCUGGGUCUUACUUCUUGGUGAGCCGGCAUGCCCUUCACUGGGUGUGUCGGGGAACCAGGACUUUUACCUUGAGAAAAU